GACCUGCACAGGUGCUGCAUGGCUGUCGUCAGCUCGUGUCGUGAGAUGUUGGGUUAAGUCCCGCAACGAGCGCAACCCUUAUCCCCAGUUGCCAUCAGGUAAAGCUGGGAACUCUGGGGGAGACUGCCGGUGAUAAACCGGAGGAAGGCGGGGAUGACGUCAAGUCCUCAUGGCCCUUACAUCCCGGGCUACACACGUGCUACAAUGGCAGGUACAGAGGGCUGCAAAGCCGCGAGGUAGAGCGAAUCCCAGAAAACCUGUCUCAGUCCGGAUUGAAGUCUGCAACUCGACUUCAUGAAGGCGGAAUCGCUAGUAACCGCGAAUCAGCAGGUCGCGGUGAAUACGUUCCCGGGCCUU
Molecule: ribosomal RNA, 357 nt
Filed under: uncultured Latescibacterota bacterium
Lineage: Bacteria; Pseudomonadati; Candidatus Latescibacterota
Description: bacterial SSU rRNA
Rfam family: Bacterial small subunit ribosomal RNA
Source: RNAcentral